UAUAUCAUCAACUAUGAUGUUUUAUAAUGUUAAGGUAUAUCCUGUGAUGGUUGAAGUAUGUCAUGUACUACUUGCCUUUGAUUUUAUAGGGGAUUAUACUCAAGAUAUUCCAUGAUUCUCAGAAGAGACUUGGGACUUUCAAACAUUGUUGUGGUGUGUUAGACUAUCGGGACUUUUGGAGUUGGAGUUAAUAUAUUUUGUAUAGUGUAAUGCUAGAGCUUGUCAUAAUCCCAUUGCCUCAUGUGUUUAAACAAGACUAUGAAUGCCAUAGACUGGAAUGUGAUUGGUGAGAUAUGUUUAGCCUAUGAGAAGUAGUUUGCAAUAAUCAGGCAUGUGGCCUUGUUGGGGAAGGUAUAGCUUUCCUACAGGAAGUGUGUCAGAUUGUGUCACAAUGGAGGCAGUGCUUUGAAAUGUCAGGAAAUUGUCAAUUCUGGGCAGAGUGAUCCAGACCAUACUCCCGGCUGGCUGUAAAAGAGAGUCUCCUAACUGGAUAAAGCUGUAGAACCCUUGGCUCCUCCAGCACCAUGGCUUCCUAUAUGCUGUCAGGCUUCCUGACAUGAUCGUAAUAUUAGGAAUUUACUAGCAGGGCUGAUGGUAUUGCUAUGGUAGGUCUGACCAUAGUUUUGUUUGAAGGAAUAAUUAUUUUAGGAUUUUGUAAUGGAGGGGAGGCUUUAAAUGGGGCUUAUCGGUCCAUAGGAUUAGAAGCAUGGAAGACAGUGUUGCUGAGAGUGAUUUCAACUGUGGGGGCCUGUCUCUAAGAAACUUCAAAGGAGAAGACUCAUAAACCUGAAUCUCCAAAGUGUCCCCAGAUAAUAUUAUGAUGACAAUCAUCCAUGAGCCAUCAAUGUCCAUAUUGAAACCUACAAUCAUUGUUGCUUCUGAAGAGAUUUCUAACGUCAAGGAUCCCUGAAGCCAGCAGAAUGUACGCUGAAGUUCACAGUCAAUACUGCAACCUCAGGUCAUGUUGAGAGUUCCACAUAUAGUGAGUUGAGGUCACAUAUAUACUGGCAACAGACAACAGUGCAUGUAUGUGAUACUUCAGGCCUCAGCAGCCAUGAUAUCAUUGAUCUCCACUGCCUCACGAGAGCACAUUAAUAUGAGUGUCUCCAACUGCCAGUAAAAUCAUUACAGAUAUCAGUUAUCCAUGAUCCUGUCCAACUUGUGAGAAGGGUUCUGCCAGCUGUAACCAUUUUUAUGUCAUGUUGUAUCCUGUCACUAAACAAGAGGUUUCUGUUCAUGGCCAUACCUGCUAUCUGAAACUAUCUUAAUGUCCCUGAUAUUCAUGGCAACUGACACCAUGGUGUAUCUCUGAUCCUUCCUGCAACUUUGGAUCAGUUGAUAACAUGAGAAAUACCGGCAUCCAAAGAAAAUACAUUGAUAUUACUCAUAUACAAUGCCACUGGUAACAAUACUGAGAUCCAUAGUCAGUGUUGUGCUGGAAAAGAUCCCUGAUGUCUUAGAUCCCAAUGCCAGAAGAGUCUAUUAUAAAGAUCAUUGUCAGUAGUGCUGCCUACUGUCAUAAUGAGGUAAGUACUGUGUUUUGUUAAUGAAGACACCAUUGAUGCCAGUGAUCCUACCUGCAACCUGAAGUUAUGUUAAGGUCACUGCUGUUUGAAGUGAUCAGCAAUCAAGAUGGAGUCCAUUGUUAAUAUCACUGAAGGUGAUCUUGGCGAUGGCUAUGAUCUACAUUGUUUCUGGAGAACCUGAUGAAUGCCAAGGUCCAUACUGAUGCAGAACGUCAUUUUGAGGUAAUUGUUUUGAGCUGGCACUGGAGAUCUGAUUGAUAGCUGAGAUUCGACCCAUCACAGUAAAUUCAGUUGAAGUUUCUGAUGCAUGCAUGUAUCCUCCGAUGUUGAUCAUGCAAAGUAUUUUGAUGCCAGCAAUCCUACCUGUAUCAUGAAGCUCUGUUGAUGUCAGUGAUGUAUUCUGUGUCCAGAAAUAAUGAAGGAGUACAUUUUUCAUAUUGGUGAUGGAGUCUCUGAUGAUGGCUAAGAUAUGUGUUGCUGUUCGAGCACCUGAUAAAUUCCAAGGUCCUUAUUGAUUCCUGAAUUCAUAUUGAGGAAAUUCUGUUGAUGUUCCUGAUGCAUGCAUAUAGGUCCAGAUGCUAUAUGUGCAAUAUAUGAUGAUGCCUAUGAUAAUAUCUGAAACAUAAACCUAUGUAGAUGUAAAUGCUGCAUGAUAUGAGCUGCAAUCAUGAUGGAGUCCCUUAUUCCUAUCGUUGAUGGCAUAUCAUAGUUAAGGCUAUGAUCUGUGUUGCUGUUUGAGAAUCUGGUGAAUUUGACAGUCAAUACUGAAGCCCAAGGUCAUAUUGAGGAGAAAUGUUUUACCAGUCUAACCGUUUUGAUGUCAUGAUGCAGCCUACCACUACAGAAGAGGUUUCUGUACAAGGUCCUACUGAUCAUCUGAAUAUGCAGAGUACUGGAUAUGCAUAAUACUUCCUGGCAAAAGUCAAGAUGGCAUAUUCCAGAUCAAUGCUGCCAUAAGCAGCAAGGUUAUGACUAAUACUUGCUGUCACUUUGGACCUGAUCGAUGACAUCAAUGAUCCCAACUGUCAAAGGAAGUAUAUUGAUGUCACUCAUCCAUGAUGCUACUGGUGAUCAUGUUGAAAUCCAAAGUCAGUGUUUUCAUGGAAGUAUUCCCCGAUGUGUGAGAUCUCUGAGACAGCAGAGUCUUUCGUGAAGUUCAUGAUCAGUAGUGAUGCCCAAGGUCAUAAUGAGGUAAGUGUUGUGUGCUGCUACAGGAGAUGCAUUGGAUGCCUGUGACUACCUGAAACAUGAAGUUAUUCUGAUGCCAGUGCUCCAGCUGUGACCAGCAAUCAUUAUGGAGUCCAUUAUUCCUAUUACUGAUUGAGACCCUGGUGAUUGCUAUGAUCUCAUUUGCUUCUGGAAAACUACCUGAAUGCCAAUGUCCAUACAGACAACUGAUGUCAUAUUGAGUGUUCUGAGAUGACACUGGAGAACAGAUUGAUGGCUGAGAUCCUAAGUGUCACAGGGAAUUCUGUUGAUGUUCCUGACAAAAACAUGUAGUCUGUGAUGUCUAUCAUGGAAUGUAUCUUGAUGCCUGUGAUCCUACCUUUAACAAGAAGCUAUGUUGAUAUCAGUGAUACAUUCUGUGACCAGCAAUCAUGAAGGAGUCCAUUAUUCCUAUUGGUGAUGGAGAUCCUGGAAUGGCUAUGAUCUACAUUUCUGCUUGAGAACCUGAUAAAUUCCAAGGUUCUUAUUGAUGCCUUCUAGCAUACUGAGGUAAGUGUUCUUAGUUGGCCCUGGAUAUCAUAUUGAUGUCUGAGAUCCUACCUCCCACAGGAAAUUCAGAAGAUGUCAUGGGUGCAUGCAUGUAGCUCCUGCUGUUAAUCAUCAUUACCACCCCAAGAAGUGGAAGUGAUGCCUAAUAUCUAUCCUGCCACUGGAGAAGAGGUUUAUAAUCAUAAUUUCAUCUGCUGUUCGAAUUGUUGCUGAUGUCACUGAAAUAUACCUGGCAAGAGACACCACAGUAUUGCCCAUCAUCCAUACUGCUUUUGACAAAGUUGUCAGUGAUCUCUGAUUCCACUGGGAACCAUGCUAAUAUCACUAAUCCAAAGUGCCUACAGCAACUUGGAUGGUGUGAAUCAUCCAUCCUGUACCAGGAGCUAUGUUGAAACCCAUAGAAUAUAUUGCUUCUGAAGACAUGAUUAUUGUUAAUGGUACCUGAAUCCAUCAAAGUAAGGUGAAGUUCAAGUUCAAUAGUGCUGCCAAUGGUAAUGUUUAGUUAUAUUUUCUGACAUAUGUUAUGUUGAGAGCAUAUAAAUUGUGGUGAUGUACACUGGUGUAUGUCCAUAAUACCUCAGGCCUCCAACAGCCAUGCAAGUAAUACCUGCUGCCAUUAGGGAUAGGAGUUUAUCCAACUGCCAAUGGAAUUAUUACUGAUAUCUGUUUUCCAUUCUUCUGCUCAAUUUAUGAGAAUAUUCUUGCCCUCUAUAACAAUUUUGAUGUCAUGAUGCAUCCUGCCACUAGAGAAGAGGUUUAUGUUCAUGACCAUACUUCUCCUCUGAAACUAUUUUGAUGCUCCCUAAUACUUUGUGGCAACUGACUCUACUUUAUAUCCCACAACCCUGAUGCCAUAGGCAACCAGGUCAGGGGUGAAGCUUACUCCCACUUUGGACCAUUCAAUGAAACCAGAGACCACAACUGCCAAGGGAAGUAUAUUGAUAUCACUCAUCCAUGAUACCACUGGUAACCAUGUUGAGAUCCAUAGUCAAUGUUUGUAGGUGGAAUGGCUUAGCAACAAAUGUUGCCUUUGACGAGCUCCUUGGCUGCUGAGAUCCCUUGGCCACUAGAGUCUAUUGUAAAGAUCAUUGUCAUUAUGGCUGCCUAAGUUUAUAAACAGGAAAGAGCCGUAUACUAUUACUGUCAUCACCUUUGAUGUCAGUGAUCAUAUCUUCAUUUUGAAGUUCUGCUGAUAUCAUUGUAUGCUCUAAUCAGCCAGCGUGAUAGAGGCCAUUGUUCCUAUUACAUAUGGAAAACCUAAUGAUGACUAGAAUCUGUGUUGCUUCUGGAGAAACUUCUGAAUUCCAAGGACCUUGGGACCAAUAUCAUCCAAGGUCAUAUUGAGGGUAAGUGUUGUUAGCUGACAAAACUAAUCUCUGAGAUCCUACCCACCACAGGGAAUUCUACUGAUGUUCCUGAUGCAUGCAUGUAGCUCCUGAUGUGAAAAAACAUUGUAUUUUGAUGCUUAUGAUCCUACCUGUAACAAGAAGUUGUGCUGAUACCAGUGCUGCAUGUGGUGACUAGAAAUCAUGAUGGUGUCCAUUAUUCCUAAUGCUGAUGGUGAUGGCUCUUAUUUGUGUUGCUGCUUGAGAAUCCAAUGAAUCCCAAGGUCCAUACUGAUGCCCAUGAUCAUUUUGAUGUAAAUAUUUUUAGCUGGUACUGGAGAUCCGAUUGUUAUCUAGAAGCCUACCCGAAACAGGAAAAUUGGUUGAUGUUCCUUAUACAUGUGUGUAGCCCCCCAUUUUAAACAUGUAAUAAAUAUUGAUGCCUGUGAUCCUGCCUGAAACAUGAAGCUGUUUUGAUGUCAGCACUGUUUGAUGACCAGCAAUCAUGAUGGAAUCUAUUAUUUCCAUUGCUAAUGGACACACUGGUGAUGGCUAUGAUCUAUGCUUUUGCUUGAGAACCCGAUGAAUCCAAAGGUCUGUAAUGAUGUGGUAGGUGAUAUUGAGGUAAGUGUUCUGAGCUAGCAAUGGAGAUCAUAUUGAUAUAUGAGAUCCUAUCUGCCACAGGAAAUUCUGUUGAGAUCACUGAUACAUGAAUGCAGCCCCUGAUUUUUGACCUUGUUACGUGCAAGAUCCUUACUGCUACCUGAAGUGAUAGUGAUAACAGUGAUCUAUCCUGCCACUAGGGAAGAGAUGUAUGAUUUGCCCUAUGAAUUGAUGAUGAUGUCACUGAUAUAUACCUGGCAACAUACACCAUGGUAUUGUCCAAGGUCCAUGCUGCCAUUGACAACCUGGUUGUCAGUAAUCCCUGCUGCACCUGCUUACCAUGUUAAUAUCACCAUUACCAAAUGCUUGUAGAAACUAUGAUGGUUUCAGUAGCCAUGUUUAAAAUCAUAGUCCAUGAUGCCUCUUAGGAUAUUUUUAAUGCAAAUGAUCCCUGGGGCUAGCAGAAUCUAAGGUAAUGUUUUAGGUCAAUACUGAUGUCUGAGAUCAUGUUGAGUCAUAUGUUCUGAGAUAUAUUAUGGUGAAGUCACAUAUAGUGUGGCAACAGACACGGUUGUCUGUUAUAUAUAUUUCAGUCUUCCAGCAGUCAUGUCCGUGAUCCCUGCUGCCUCUUGGGAACACAUUAAUAUCACUGUUUCUAACUGGCAAUGGCAUCGUCACUGAUGCCAAUUUUCUAAGAUUCUGCCCAAUUCAUGAGAAGGGUUCUUCUAGCUGUAACCAUUUUUAUGUCAUGUUGCAUUCUGUCACUAGACAAGAGGUUUCUGUACAUGGUCAUACCUGCCCUAUGAAACUGUCUUGAUAUCCCUGGCAACAGAUAUACCAUAGUAUAUUUCAGAUUCCUAUGCCCACAGUCAACCAGGCAGUGAAUAAUUGCUACUACCACUUUGGAACAAAUUGAUGACAUUCGUGAUCCCAACUGCCAAGGGAAAAAUAUUGAUGUCGUUCAUCUAUGCUGUCAUUUGUAUCCACAUUGUGAACCAUAAGUAGCAUGUUUGAAGAGGCCUUGAUGUCUGUGAUAACUCAACCAGAAUAAUCUGUUGUGAAUUUCAGUGUUAGUUCUGGUGCUAAAGGUCAUAAUGAGGCAAGUCCUGUGUGUUCCUACUGGAGACAUGUGAUGCUAGUGAUGCUAGUGAUGUUGAUGCUAGUGAUCAUGUGUGAAACCUGAAGCUGUGUUGAUGUCAGUGCUGCAUGCUAUAACCAGAAAUCAUGAUGGAGUCUAUUAUUGUGAUGGCUAUGAUCUGUGCUGCUUCUGGAGAACAUGCUAAAUUCUGAGGUCCAUACUGACACAUGAGGUCAUAGUGAGAUCCAUAGUCAGUGCUGUUUCUAAAGACCUUCUUGAUGUCUAUGAUCAAUGUGGCCAGCGUGUCAAUUGUGAAGUUCAUGGUCACAACUGCUUCCAAAGAUCAUAAUGAGGAAGACCUUAUUGAUGACAAGGAUCUGUGCUGCUGCAUGAGAACAGGCUGAAUUCCAAGUUCUAUACUGAUGUGCAGGGUCAUAUUGAGACCUCAUUAUGAGUAAUAUCCUUUCUGCCACAAGAAGAAAUUUGAUAUAAUUGAUUCAUCCUGCUACUGGAGAAGAGACUUAUGUUCAUAAUUUCUUCUACCCUCUGAAUCAACACUGAUGUCAGUGAUACAAUUGUCAACAGAUAUCAUACUAUAUCUAUAGUCCCUGCUGCAAUAGCAAGCAUCAUAUUAAAUAUUUGUGCUGCCAUUUUGGACCAGGAUGAUAUCAGUUACCACAACUGCCAACAGAAAUAUAGUGAUGUCACUCAUCCAUGCUUCUACCUGUAAAUAUAUUACUAUCCAUAGAUGUUGCUGCCUCUGAAGAGCUUUGUGAUGUCUGUUAUCCAUGGUGCUAGAAGAGUCUGUCUUGAAGUUCAUGGUCGAUAAUACUGCCUAAGUCAUGUUGAUGUAUGUGUACUAUGCUGCCACCAGAGACGUGUUUUAUGACUGUGACCUGACUUGCCUCCUGAAGCAGUGUUGAUGUCAUGGCUGCAUACUGACAUCACUAAUUGUGAUGGUGUUUAUUGUUCCAGUGGCAGGUAGGACCUGCCCUAUGAAACUAACAUGUACCAAGGGAUAAAUGCAUGCAUUAAGGACAUGUACCAGUACAACAAAACACAGGAGUGUAUGAAAUGCCUUUUAUGCAUGCAUGAAGCCCCUGCUGACUAAUCAUAACUCUUUUGACUAUAUUAUGCAUAAGAUCCUCACUGAAAUCAGAAGAAUUGUUCAAGAUGUCAUUGAUCCAUCCUGACAAUGGAGAAGAUGUUUAUGUUAAUAUUCUCUCUUGCCCUCUGAAUCUAUACCAAUGUCCAUGAUAUGCUCAGAAACAGAUACAAUGGUAUUGCCCAAGAUAAAUGCUGCCACAGGUAACCUUGAUUUUAGUGAUCCCUGUUGCAAAUGAGUACAAUGUUAAUAUCACUAAUUCAAAGUGCCACCAGAAACUAUGCUGAUGUCCAUCAUCAAUGAUAACACCGGCAUCAAGGUUGAAUGCCAUAGUCCAUGUUGGUUCUGAAGAGACUGAUAAUGUAAAGGAAACCUGUUGCUACCAAAGUCUAUGGUGAAGUUCAUAGUCAAUAUUGCUAACUAAGGUUUUGUUGAGUUAACCUUUCUGUGAUAUGUUGAGGUCAGUGAUACAUUAAGGCAACAAACACCAUUGUAUGCCCAUGAAUUUUGAUGCAAUGAGCAGCUAUAAUGUCAGUGAUCACUGGUGACACAUGUGACCACAUUAAUCUGAGUGAUUCCAGCUGCCACCAGAACCUAUACUGAUGUCUGUGAUCCAUUUUUCUGCCAUCUGAGACUAUGUUAUAUAAUAAAUAUAUGCUGCCAGCUGUACCACAUUUUAUGUCAAGGAUCCAUCCUGCCAAUAGAAAUGAAGUUUCUGUUCAUAGUCUGAUCUGUCCUCUGAAACUGCAUCAAUGUUACUGAUACCUUCUAGAAGCAAACACUAUGGUGUAUCCUAGAUCACUGAGGCCUCUGGCCCACCAGCAACCAUGAUGAUGUCCAUUAUUCCUAUUGAGGUCCUACCUGCCACAGGAAACUAUGGUGAUGUCCCUGACGUAUGAUUGUAGUUGCUUUGUAGAGCAUGCCAUGUAUAAGAUCCUAACUGUCACCAGAAUAGUUAUUGAUAUAAAUUCUGCAACCUUAUAGAUACUUUCCAGCUGUAACUAUUUUGAUGUUGAGGAUCUAUGCUGGAACUAGAGAAGAGGUUUCAGUAUAUGAUCUGAACUUCCAGUGAAACUAUGAUGUCAAUGACAACUCCACAGUAACAAAAAUUACAGUAUAUCCCGGAUCCAUUCUGUCACAAGUUACAAGAUGUUAGUGAUCCCAGGUCCCGCUAUGGAUUGGGAUGAUUAUAUUAGCGAUCCCACUUUUCCAGUGGAAGCAAUGUUCAUGUCAGUGCUACCUGUUGUCAUCAGCAAACAAUAUGAUGUCCUUCAUUGCUAUUGAGAUUCUACCUGCUACAAGAAACUAUGGUGAGGUCCCUGAUGCGUGCAUUUAUCCCUUGCUACAGACUAUCAUGUAUACUACCACCAGAAGUGAUGUUUGUGUUAGUGAUCCAUCCUGUGACAUUAGAAGAGAUUUAUGCCAAUAGACUCUUUCCCUCUGAGUAUAUACUGACGUCACUGACAUACCUAGCAACAUAUAUGGUAGGAUAGCACAAGAUCCAUGCUGCUACAGGCAACCUCAUCAAUGUUCCCUGUUGCCACUGGAAAUUAUACAAUCAUCACCAAUCUAACCUGCCCUCAGAAAUUAUGUUGAUGUCCAUCAUCCAUGAUGCCAACAGUACCCAUGUUACACAUAGUCCAUGUUGCUUCUGAAGAGAAUGUUAAUAUUAAGGAGUUCUCCAGCCACCAGUGUCUAUUCUGAAGUUUAUAGUCAAUAUUGUUGCCUGAGGUCAUGUUGUGAAGUGUUCUGA
RNAcentral lists this small RNA (9106 nucleotides) under Rattus norvegicus (Norway rat). RNAcentral describes it as "uncharacterized LOC102554698". The record is from RNAcentral. Lineage: Eukaryota; Metazoa; Chordata; Mammalia; Rodentia; Muridae.